UGGCCGUGCCUUGCAUUUUAACAGGGUAACCUUCACUGGCCCCGGCAGUCUAGCGGCCCUCCCUGGUACUCCCGUAGCCUGCGCCUGGGCAGGCCUUGACGUUUUGUAGCGCCCUUCUCCCCUCACGGCAUCCUUGCCUCUGGUUUCCUGAUGGGCCAACCAAUGACGUUUGUAUUGGCCUUCGCCCCUCCUCAUACAGAAAGAUGCUAAUGCAUUCUUCAGCCGCCUAGCUGAAAAACAUUCCCAGGCAAGGGUGUUUGAUACGAUUGUUUAUUUCUGGCUUUUCCACACCU
RNAcentral lists this long non-coding RNA (293 nucleotides) under Volvox carteri. RNAcentral's name for it is "long non-coding RNA (VCAR_LNC003455)". Lineage: Eukaryota; Viridiplantae; Chlorophyta; Chlorophyceae; Chlamydomonadales; Volvocaceae. The record is from RNAcentral.